RNAcentral lists this ribosomal RNA (540 nucleotides) under uncultured bacterium. RNAcentral describes it as "bacterial SSU rRNA". It matches the Rfam family "Bacterial small subunit ribosomal RNA", at positions 390 to 919 of the family's 1533-position model. The record is from RNAcentral.
CGCCAUGCCGCGUGAGUGAAGAAGGCCUCGGGUUGUAAAGCUCUUCGGCGGGGAAGAAAUUGCACUCUCUAAUACAGGGUGUAGAUGACGGUACCCGCAUAAGAAGCACCGGCUAACUACGUGCCAGCAGCCGCGGUAAUACGUAGGGUGCGAGCGUUAAUCGGAAUUACUGGGCGUAAAGCGUGCGCAGGCGGUUGUGUAAGUCAGAUGUGAAAAUCCCCGGGGCUCAACCUGGGGAACUGCAUUUGAGACUGCACGGCUAGAGUGUGACAGAGGGGGGGUAGAAUUCCACGUGUAGCAGUGAAAUGCGUAGAGAUGUGGAGGAAUACCGAUGGCGAAGGCAGCCCCCUGGGUUACUACUGACGCUCAUGCACGAAAGCGUGGGGAGCAAACAGGAUUAGAUACCCUGGUAGUCCACGCCCUAAACGAUGUCAACUGGAUGUUGGAGGGGUUAAACCCUUUAGUGUCGUAGCUAACGCGUGAAGUUGACCGCCUGGGGAGUACGGCCGCAAGGCUAAAACUCAAAGGAAUUGACGGGGA